Molecule: ribosomal RNA, 492 nt
Filed under: uncultured bacterium
Lineage: Bacteria
Description: partial 16S ribosomal RNA
Rfam family: Bacterial small subunit ribosomal RNA
Source: RNAcentral
AGUGAACGCUGGCGGUAGGCCUAACACAUGCAAGUCGAACGGCAGCACAGUAAGAGCUUGCUCUUACGGGUGGCGAGUGGCGGACGGGUGAGGAAUACAUCGGAAUCUACUUUUUCGUGGGGGUUAAGGUAGGGAAACUUACGCUAAUACCGCAUCCGACCUACGGGUGAAAGCAGGGGAUCUUCGGACCUUGCGCGAUUGAAUGAGCGGAUGUCGGAUUAGCUAGUUGGCGGGGUAAAGGCCCACCAAGGCGACGAUCCGUAGCUGGUCUGAGAGGAUGAUCAGCCACACUGGAACUGAGACACGGUCCAGACUCCUACGGGAGGCAGCAGUGGGGAAUAUUGGACAAUGGGCGCAAGCCUGAUCCAGCCAUACCGCGUGGGUGAAGAAGGCCUUCGGGUUGUAAAGCCCUUUUGUUGGGAAAGAAAAGCAGCAGGUUAAUACCCCGCUGUUCUGACGGUACCCAAAGAAUAAGCACCGGCUAACUUCGUG